GCCGUCAUGGUGGAAUAGGUAGACACAAGAGACUUAAAAUCUCUCGUCCUAGGGCAUCCCGGUUCGAGUCCGGGUGGCGGUACCA
This 85-nucleotide transfer RNA is filed under the name Parcubacteria group bacterium ADurb.Bin216. RNAcentral's name for it is "tRNA-Leu". It matches the Rfam family "tRNA". Rfam says of the family: Transfer RNA (tRNA) molecules are approximately 80 nucleotides in length. Their secondary structure includes four short double-helical elements and three loops (D, anti-codon, and T loops). Further hydrogen bonds mediate the characteristic L-shaped molecular structure. tRNAs have two regions of fundamental functional importance: the anti-codon, which is responsible for specific mRNA codon recognition, and the 3' end, to which the tRNAs corresponding amino acid is attached (by aminoacyl-tRNA synthetases). tRNAs cope with the degeneracy of the genetic code in two manners: having more than one tRNA (with a specific anti-codon) for a particular amino acid; and 'wobble' base-pairing, i.e. permitting non-standard base-pairing at the 3rd anti-codon position. The record is from RNAcentral.